AACGAACGCUGGCGGCAGGCUUAACACAUGCAAGUCGAGCGCCCCGCAAGGGGAGCGGCAGACGGGUGAGUAACGCGUGGGAACGUACCUUUUGGUUCGGAACAACUCCGGGAAACUGGAGCUAAUACCGGAUAAGCCCUAACGGGGAAAGAUUUAUCGCCGAACGAUCGGCCCGCGUCUGAUUAGCUAGUUGGUGGGGUAACGGCACACCAAGGCGACGAUCAGUAGCUGGUCUGAGAGGAUGAUCAGCCACACUGGGACUGAGACACGGCCCAGACUCCUACGGGAGGCAGGAGUGGGGAAUAUUGGACAAUGGGCGCAAGCCUGAUCCAGCCAUGCCGCGUGAGUGAUGAAGGCCUUAGGGUUGUAAAGCUCUUUUGUCCGGGAAGAUAAUGACGGUACCGGAAGAAUAAGCCCCGGCUAACUUCGUG
RNAcentral lists this ribosomal RNA (431 nucleotides) under uncultured bacterium. RNAcentral describes it as "partial 16S ribosomal RNA". It matches the Rfam family "Bacterial small subunit ribosomal RNA", at positions 29 to 507 of the family's 1533-position model. The record is from RNAcentral.